Molecule: RNase P RNA, 349 nt
Filed under: Chloroflexota bacterium
Lineage: Bacteria; Bacillati; Chloroflexota
Description: Chloroflexi bacterium RNase P RNA component class A
Rfam family: Bacterial RNase P class A
About the family: Ribonuclease P (RNase P) is a ubiquitous endoribonuclease, found in archaea, bacteria and eukarya as well as chloroplasts and mitochondria.
Source: RNAcentral
CGAGGCGGCCGGAUGGUCGCGCGCCUGCCGGGAGACCGGCCGGCGCGAGGAAAGUCCGAGCUCUUCAGCGCGGGGUAGCGGGUAACGCCCGUCCGUCGUGAGACGAGGACCAGUGCCACAGAGACGAGUCCGCCCGAUCGGCUUCGGCCGGCGGUCGGAGUGAAACGCGGCAAACUCUACCCGGAGCAAGGCCAAGUAGGAGGACGCAACCCGGUUCGCCGGGGGAGAGGUGCGCUGCCCAGUCCUCGGGUCGGCCGCAUGAACCGUCGGGCGACCGGCGGUCAGAGAUGGAUGGCCAUCACCGCGAGCAAUCGCGGGACAGAACUCGGCUUACAGGCCGCCUCGCUGG